GUGCCAGACGUGCGGUUGACAGUCAGCUGUUAGAAGGCGAGAGUGUCGUACGGUGCUCGGAGGUACGUGUUCCCGGCUCCCCUCUAAACCAAGGAAGGGAUGAGUCCUAGGCAUUCCAUGUUCUCAGUGAGUAGCCUCUUCUCCUGUGCCGCUGUGAGUUUCAAAAGUCAUAGGGAGACGGUCGGCGCCAACCACCUGCGACCCACAGAAAACAGAUGGUGAAAAGCUGGUACAAUCCACACACGCAUUCGAUGACCUGAC
Molecule: long non-coding RNA, 261 nt
Organism: Penaeus chinensis
Lineage: Eukaryota; Metazoa; Arthropoda; Malacostraca; Decapoda; Penaeidae
Exons: 2
Source: RefSeq, a predicted model, not a curated record